UCCUACGUGUCCUGCCAAUGCGAUUGGUACAAAUAAGAGAUUAUAUGCCACGUGCAUGCUCGAACCAAUCCCCAGACCUAAAUGUAGACCGAGGCUUAUGUAGCGUGGAAAAAUUAAACGCUAAUGCAGCGGCUGGCUAUUGGCACAGGGCCAACACCUUUGUCCGAUGGGUCACAAGUAAAGCUGCAAGAUUUACUCACUGUAUUGGGAAAAAUGUCGACUCAGCCUCAAACGAGUAACUGGUGCGGCGUGUGAACAUCGCCACUGGGGAGACAAAGGCGGCCGGGCGUGGUGGAUCCAAGCCCCGGACGAAGCCGGGAUCGUCAGAAUUGGCGGCAACUUCGGAAGGCCUUCAUCCUGCAGUGGACCGAACAAGGCUGAUGAUGACGAUCUUUUGUCAAGGAUGGUCAACACACUGGUCGUCCUUCGACAUGCGUGGACUGCUUUACAAGGGGAGCUGAAAUGGAAUGUACUGUAAUUCAGUUCACGGUAGACGCUGCUGUCGUGUGUGAUGCCCAGGAAUGACUUUGAGAGGAACACAUGCAGAUCUCAUGGCUUGGCAGCAUUCAUCAAUGCCAGGGAAAGUUCUUCCACAUUCUGUCUCGGAACCAAAGUUAAUUUUGAACAUCAAAGCUAUGUUCAUUUGUAAAAAUAAAAAAAAAUCGGCUAGUGACUUUGUGACUAUUUUUGUUCAGUUAGAGGUUAUGCACUGGUCCAGGGCCACGGUGCUCAAGGUUUUGUGUUUCUCUCCAUUUGUAUUUCAAUGAUGUCUGGUUGUGUUGUUGUUGUUGUUUGCCAUCGUUAUGCGUUGCUGUACCUUUGUCGUCUUCUCCUUCUCAUAGUCCCUUAGCCAUUUAGGCUCCUGGGGGAGGGCCAUUUCCUUCACCGAUAUCUCCUUGCAGUAUUCUCUCCACUUCUCUGCCCGUCACUGCAUCUUUCAACUGAGGUUGCGGCGCUCAUCGCUUCAUGAAUGGAGUUAAAAAGAACUCGCAAGCACACACCUUGUGAAAUACCCAACAGAAGAUCCCUGGGUUUGAUCUUCAAUGAAGCUCAUGGUCCACACCCUACACCGCAUCCACUGCACACACCGUGGCGGAUGCCAAUACCUGAUGCGCAAAUGGAAAAUUUAACACUCUCCAGUAGUGUACGACCGUGGUCGUACAGAACAGACCGUGACAACGUAUAACGACGCAAUGCCAAAUCCACAAAUACGAAGAAGAGACAUCGAAGCGAUACACUCGGCUGGCUGCUGGCGUGGUUAAUCUGGCUUCACCACCUGAAUGUGAAGUUGUUGCUCUGCAUCUACAUCAGCCAUACGAAAGAGGAAAAGUGUUAAAUAUUGUACCACGUAAUUUCGA
This is a non-coding RNA of Petromyzon marinus (sea lamprey), 1358 nucleotides long. The record is from RefSeq and is a predicted model, not a curated record. Lineage: Eukaryota; Metazoa; Chordata; Hyperoartia; Petromyzontiformes; Petromyzontidae.